AUUGCUCGUCUGUUAGCCAGCCGCCCUCCAGCUCCAGAGUGUGGCCUCAGAACUCCCUGGAUGACGCCUCACCUCCUGGCCAGAUGGUGUCCGGAAGGAAGCAAUAUAGAACAAGCAGCCCUGUGCCAGGGCCGUGUCUGUGAAGCAGAGCGGUAUGAUGCAGAAGUUUGUCAUCUUCAAGAAUCCCUGUCCUGGCGCACCUAGCCUGGUGACCUCUGCCAAGUGACUUGUUUCCUUCAAGCUUCCAUGUCUUCACCUCUACGGUGGAGAGACUGAGCUAAUAACUGUCUUCCACCUGCAAGAUGGAGGUGAGGACCACAUAGGAGCUGGCACGUAAUGGAUUUAGCAUAGUGCCUGGAUUAUGGUGAAGUGCAACAAGCUUAGCCACUCUUGAGUUUUGAGGGACACACCACACAUGCAUGAACAUAUGAAGGUGGUAUAAGAACCAAUAAGUGCACAGGUGAAUAAAUGCUGCAGGAGUUCAAAGCAGGGAGAGAGGGCUUCCCUAGGGUUCCAGGGAGGGCAGGCAUUCUGGUGAUUUGAACUGGGCCUCAAAAGAGGAUUCCAUUGAAAGGAAGGUGAAGACAAACCUAGCAUGUUCUUCUCAAAGCUUGGGAAGAGAUCUAUGCAUCAUAUACCCACUGCCUUUGUUUUAGAUGUUGAAGGCCUUGAGCAAAGUCAUAUGUCAAAUUAGUAGCAGAGCUGGGGCUAGAGGCAGUGACUUCUCUUGUACUUUUUCCAUCACACCUUGCUGGCCAUUGGAAUUUCUCUUAGUCACUAUGCGUUUGUUUGCAAGUGACAGGAAAAAAACUCAGUUCACACCGGCUUAAGCAGAAAAGCAAAGAAAAACAACAGCAGCAGCAUCCCAACAAUAACAGAGAAGAGAACGUACUGACUUCUCCCUUGGACAGACUCUCCCACGGGGGCUCCUGGCAUCUCCAAGCUUACCUGCUUCCAGCCUCACAUCCAGGAGAAGGAAAGCAUCUCGCUCCCUUCAAACAAUCCCAUGUCAAACAAUCAAGUCUCACCAGCCUGGUUGUGCUCACGGGCCUCCCAAACCAAUCACUGUGGCGAGAGUUUUAUUUAUUUAUUUUGUUGUACUCUGAUUGGCCAGACUUCGACCACCCGCUCACCCUUGGAGUCUUCAGAAUGACACGGUCUGGGGUGUUCUUACUGGUAGAAGAGGGAGUGGCUUCUGGGCAGACAAAAACAGCAGUGCCCAUUCAGUGUGGUCACAAGGUUUACACACUUCUUGUGGAGAAGGAGCAGGAGAGGGACCACCACCAAGAGAUGUCACUGCCACUCUCCCCAG
Molecule: long non-coding RNA, 1312 nt
Filed under: Homo sapiens (human)
Lineage: Eukaryota; Metazoa; Chordata; Mammalia; Primates; Hominidae
Description: HSALNT0097959
Source: RNAcentral